UACAGGGGGGGCAAGCGUUGUUCGGAAUUACUGGGCGUAAAGGGUCUGUAGGUGGCCAACUAAGUCAGACGUGAAAUCCCUCAGCUUAACUGGGGAACUGCGUCUGAUACUGGAUGCUUGAGUGUGGGAGAGGAAUGCGGAAUUCCAGGUGUAGCGGUGAAAUGCGUAGAUAUCUGGAGGAACACCGGUGGCGAAGGCGGCAUUCUGGACCAUAACUGACACUGAGAGACGAAAGCCAGGGGAGCAAACGGG
RNAcentral lists this ribosomal RNA (252 nucleotides) under uncultured bacterium. RNAcentral describes it as "partial 16S ribosomal RNA". It matches the Rfam family "Bacterial small subunit ribosomal RNA", at positions 524 to 776 of the family's 1533-position model. The record is from RNAcentral.